UACGUAGGGUGCAGGCGUUAAUCGGAAUUACUGGGCGUAAAGGGUGCGUAGGUGGCGCCGUAAGUCAGGUGUGAAAUCUCGGGGCUCAACCCCGAAACUGCACUUGAUACUGCGGUGCUCGAGUACUGGAGAGGAGAUUGGAAUUUACGGUGUAGCAGUGAAAUGCGUAGAUAUCGUAAGGAAGACCAGUGGCGAAGGCGAAUCUCUGGACAGUUACUGACACUGAGGCACGAAGGCCAGGGGAGCAAACGGG
This 253-nucleotide ribosomal RNA is filed under the name uncultured bacterium. Its description in RNAcentral is "partial 16S ribosomal RNA". It matches the Rfam family "Bacterial small subunit ribosomal RNA", at positions 524 to 776 of the family's 1533-position model. The record is from RNAcentral.